RNAcentral lists this ribosomal RNA (249 nucleotides) under uncultured bacterium. RNAcentral describes it as "partial 16S ribosomal RNA". It matches the Rfam family "Bacterial small subunit ribosomal RNA", at positions 1 to 252 of the family's 1533-position model. The record is from RNAcentral.
AGUACGCUAUAGAGUUUGAUCAUGGCUCAGGAUGAACGCUAGCGGCAGGCCUAAUACAUGCAAGUCGAGGGGUAGCGCAGCAAUGCGUGAGACCGGCGCACGGGUGCGUAACGCGUAUGGAAGGUGUCCGAACCACUGGGAUAGCCCCGAACGGGAACGGUUAAUACCGGAUGGCCCGUAUGUGCGGCAUCGCAUGUACGGUAAAGCUCAGGCGGGUUCGGGUCCCCAUGCGUACGAUUAGCUAGUUGG